CACAAGGAGACAGCCCACGUUGCUUCCCCAUUCAAAAACAAGAAAAAAGAAAAUAAAAGGAGGCUCGUAGGAGAAGAAGAGGGGAAGAGGGAAGAGUUUGGGAAGUUAAAAAGGGAGCUAUGGGUUCUGCCGGGAGGGGAAAUCCCUGCUGCCAUAUCUGUGAGAGGAGUGUUCGGAGCUGCUUUUGGAGGAGUGAAAGAGUUGUUGCAGAUAUGGGAGAAGAGAAGAGGAGAAGCUGAGGAAAGGGGGUGUCUUCAUUUUGGCAUGGGAGAGGGAGCGGGAGAGCAGCAGGAGGAAGGGAGCCCUUCCUUCCUUCCGUUUCCAGCCAACCAAAGAGCGCCCGUGGGAAGCUGCACCAACUUCUAAAGGGCUGAGAGGAGGAGCAGGGAUGGACAUCUGAGGAGUCCUUGCAGCAAGAUCUGGAAGAUGAAGUGGAGAACCAUUGAAGUUGCAAAGGAGAUCUUGAUCUGCACUUCUGGAGGAAGAUGGAUCACAAAUUUUACAAAGGAAGUCUUCAAGAGAUGGCGGGGAGGAUACCUUGGGAGCAGCUCUUGAUGGAGACGGCAGUGCUGCAACCUAGCAUUACUAAUUCUUAUUUCGUGAACUCGUUUAAUUACAUUUGUGUGUAUUUUAAGUUUUAAAUUUUUCGUGAUUUCCAUGGGAGAUUCCAAUAAUCGUAUUGUCAAUUUCUGCACUAUUCUGAGGAUGACUGUAAUCCUUAAAUUACUCUUGACUGCUUUCCUAUAUUAUGCAUGAUGACGUCUUUAUUAUA
This is a long non-coding RNA of Vigna angularis (adzuki bean), 772 nucleotides long. RefSeq lists it as uncharacterized. NCBI's taxonomy places the organism in Eukaryota, Viridiplantae, Streptophyta, Magnoliopsida, Fabales, Fabaceae. The transcript is spliced from 2 exons. The record is from RefSeq and is a predicted model, not a curated record.